Molecule: ribosomal RNA, 569 nt
Filed under: uncultured fungus
Lineage: Eukaryota; Fungi
Description: eukaryotic LSU rRNA
Rfam family: Eukaryotic large subunit ribosomal RNA
Source: RNAcentral
CCCGCUGAACUUAAGCAUAUUAGUAAGCGGAGGAAACGAAAUCAACUGAGAUUCCCCUAGUAACUGCGAGUGAAGAGGGAAGAGCUCGAUAUGCAAAUUGGACUUGUUCCAAGGUGUGCAUUGCUUCUUUGCCCGGUUGGUCUCAGGCAUAAACGGUUUGUGAGGACCUGUCACAGAGGGUAAUAGCCCCGUCCGCCUGAAGCGCCAGCUAUUCGGCAAGAAGCGAGCAGAGUAGCGUUCCUUGUUAUUGGAGCGCGAACCGGUGAUAAACUUCAUCGUAGGCUAAAUAACAUCGAGAAUCCGAUAGCGAAGAAGUACCGUGAGGGAAACGACGAUGUCACCCAGGAAUGGGGAACUGUGAUCACUGAAAUCGACGAAAAGGAACCUGCAAAAACGGCAUUGCUUAACCGCUGCAUUGGUCUUUGGCCUUUGUUAGUGCUGAGCAACCUGCACCUGCACUUUACAGUAGGUUUCAUUCUCUGCCAUCUGCUUGUGGAUACGUCUAUUAGCUUGAAGUAGAGAGUGGAACCAGGUGCUUGAUGUUUUUGCUGACCCGUCUUGAAACACGG